Molecule: long non-coding RNA, 1085 nt
Filed under: Phasianus colchicus (ring-necked pheasant)
Lineage: Eukaryota; Metazoa; Chordata; Aves; Galliformes; Phasianidae
Description: lncRNA (ENSPCLG00000020155.1)
Source: RNAcentral
UAACGGCUAAUUAACGGCUAAUUAAGACCGCUGGAAGGGAGCGGAGACCCCUCCCACCGCAUCCAGGACCCCCCAGCGCCCCACAAUCAACCCCUUAAUGAGCCUUAAUGAGCGUUAAUGAUCCCGGCGGUGGGAAAGCGGGGGGAAGAGGAGGGCGAUGCGUCCCUAAGGAAGCCAAUUAACGCUAAUUAGCGCCUAAUUAACGCUGCAGGAUGGGACUGAAGACCCCUCCCACCGCAUCCAGGACCCCACAGUCUCCCAGAAUCGACCCCUCAAUGAGCGUUAAUGAGCGUUAAUGAGCCCGGGGGUGGGAAGGCGGGGGGAAGAAGAGGGUAAGGAGGCGCUAAUGAAGCUAAUUAACGGCUAAUUAACGGCUAAUUAAGACCGCCGGAAGGGAGCGGAGACCCCUCCCACCGCAUCCAGGACCCCACAGCGCCCCACAAUCAACCCCUUAAUGAGCGUUAAUGAGCGUUAAUGAGCCCGCGGGUGGGAAGGCAGGAAUGGGAGGAGGGUGAGGCGGCCCUAUUGAACGUAAUUAACGCUAAUUAGCGCCUAAUUAACGCUUCUGGAAGGGAGCGGAGACCCCUCCCACCGCAUCCAGGACCCCACAGCGUCCCACAAUCAACCCCUUAAUGAGCGUUAAUGAGCGUUAAUGAUCCCGGCGGUGGGAAAGCGGGGGGAAGAGGAGAGCGACGCGUCCGUGAGGAAGCCAAUUAACGCUAAUUAGCACUGACGAGGGGCGCAGGAAGGGAACGGGGAUGCAUCCAGGACCGCACAUCGUCCCACAACCGUUCCUUAAUGAGCGUUAAUGAGCGUUAAUGAGCGUUAAUGAGCACGGGGGUGGGAUGGCAGGAAUGGGAGGGGGGUGAGGCGGCCCUAAUUAACGUAAUUAAGCGCUAAUUAAGACCGAGAAGGGGCGCAGGAAGGGAACGGGGAUGCAUCCAGGAUCCCCCAGCGUCCCACAAACCUCCCCUUAAUGAGCCUUAAUGAGCGUUAAUGAGCCUUAAUGAGCGUUAAUGAGCCCGGGGGUGGGAAGUCAGGAAUGGGAGGAUGGCGACGCGUCCGUAAUGAAGCCAAUUAACGCU